This 293-nucleotide ribosomal RNA is filed under the name uncultured prokaryote. Its description in RNAcentral is "partial 16S ribosomal RNA". It matches the Rfam family "Bacterial small subunit ribosomal RNA", at positions 26 to 314 of the family's 1533-position model. The record is from RNAcentral.
AGAUUGAACGCUGGCGGCAUGCCUAACACAUGCAAGUCGGAGCGGCAGCGCGGGGGCGACCCUGGCGGCGAGCGGCGGACGGGUGAGUAAGGCAUCGGAAUCUGCCCUGAUGUGGGGGAUAACGUAGGGAAACUUACGCUAAUACCGCAUACGACCGAGAGGUGAAAGCGGGGGACCGAAAGGCCUCGCGCUGAAGGAGCGGCCGAUGUCCGAUUAGCUAGUUGGUUGAGGUAAAGGCUUACCAAGGCGAACGAUACGGUAGCUGGGUCUGGAGAGGAUGAUCAGCCAACACU